RNAcentral lists this long non-coding RNA (1629 nucleotides) under Apis mellifera (honey bee). RNAcentral's name for it is "uncharacterized LOC100578965, transcript variant X2". The record is from RNAcentral. Lineage: Eukaryota; Metazoa; Arthropoda; Insecta; Hymenoptera; Apidae.
AGAGUUUACAAGUUAGUUUCGUUUCCAUCGUUGUACUGUUUCGACGUAGUUAAAUUACUUGUGUUCCGUUUUGCGUAUAAUUUAAAAUUACGUAUGAAUUUCGCUAAGAUUUUGUACAGUUUUUGUUCGUGAGUGUUUUAAGUAAGUUUAUUUACGAAAAUAAAUAUAGCGGCAAUCUCACGUGUUUUAUUUCCGAGUGUCGAUAUAAUUUACCAUUAUAUAUCAACGAGAAUUUGUCGCCAUGAUGUUAUUUACGAACGAUGGCGCCACGAACAGUGAAGUAAUUCGGUCGAAAGAUACGAUGGUGGAAAAAGAGGAACUUGUUUGCUAAUGGGAGGAGAAGGGGGAGGGGAAGAGAAGUUGAGGGCCAAAAAUGCACCAAAAAUACAUAAAAGAGGGGAAAGGGAAGGAAUUCGAAAGUAAAUAAAUAAAUAAAUAAAUAAAUAAAUAAUUUUGAUAUAAUUGAAAAAAAGAGAUCCUUCAGAACCCUUAUUCAGAUCACUGAAACUCAUUUUUUUUCAAUUAACUCGAGAAAGAAGAAGAAAAAGAAAAUUACAGAGAAAGGGAGGGAAAAUCAAUUGCUGCGAGGGUGAAUUCGAAAGGAGAAGAAGGGGGAGGGGAAGAGAAGUUGAGGACCAAAAAUGCACUAAAAGAGGAGAAAGGGAAGGAAUUCGAAAGUAAAUAAAUAAAUAAAUAAAUAAAUAAUUUUGAUAUAAUUGGAAACGAAAGAGAUCUUUCAAAAACUUUAUUGAAUCACUGAAACUCGUUUUUCUUCAAUCAACUCGAAGAAGAAGAAGAAAAAGAAGAAGAAGAUUACAAGGAAAGGGAAGGAAGAUCAAUUGUUAUAAGGAUGAGACGAGAAAUGCAGAGAAGGAGGGGAAAAUGAAGGAAGAAAUUCAAAAAUAAAUAAAUAAUUUCGAUAUCAUUGAAAAAAGAAUCCUUCAGAAUCUUUAUUCAGAUCACUGAAAUUCUCACUUUUCUUCAAUCAACUCGAGAAAGAAGAAGAAGAAAAGAUUAAUGAACUAAUUCAUUUUUUGUGGAUUUCAGGGAGGAGGAGGAAGAGGGAAGAUCAGUUGAGGGGCGACCAAAAAAAUGCACCGGAAACGAAGGAAUUCGAAAAUAAAUAAAUAAAUAAAUAAAUAAUUUCGAUAUUAUUGGAAACAAAGGGAGGGGAAGAGGCAGAGAAAAUCAAUCGAGAGACGACAAAAAUGUACCAAAAGCGAAGGAAUUUAAAGAUAAAUAAAUAAAUAAAUAAAUAAUUUUAUUAGAUCAUUGAAAACUCACUUCUCUUCAAUCAAUUCUAGAAAGAAGAAAAAAAAAGAAGAAAAAUAGGAAAGAUCAAUUGCUGCGAGAGUGAAUUCGAAAGAAAAUAAAUAAAUAAAUAAUUUCGAUAUUAUUGAUUCAAAAUUCUUAUUCACUUUUCUUCAAUCAACUCGAGGAAACGAGAAAGAAGAAGAAGAAAAAAUGAAUGAACUAAUUCAUUUUUCGAUUACAGGGAGGGAGAGGGAAGAUCAAUCGAGGGGCGACAAAAAUGCACCGAAACCGAGGGAAUUCAAAAAUAAAUAAAUAAAUAAAUAAUUUUAUUAGAUCACUGAAAUUCGCUUCUCUUCAAUCAAUUCGAGAAAAAAG